RNAcentral lists this ribosomal RNA (492 nucleotides) under uncultured bacterium. RNAcentral describes it as "partial 16S ribosomal RNA". It matches the Rfam family "Bacterial small subunit ribosomal RNA", at positions 29 to 507 of the family's 1533-position model. The record is from RNAcentral.
AGUGAACGCUGGCGGUAGGCCUAACACAUGCAAGUCGAACGGCAGCACAGUAAGAGCUUGCUCUUACGGGUGGCGAGUGGCGGACGGGUGAGGAAUACAUCGGAAUCUACUUUUUCGUGGGGGAUAACGUAGGGAAACUUACGCUAAUACCGCAUACGACCUACGGGUGAAAGCAGGGGAUCUUCGGACCUUGCGCGAUUCAAUGAGCCGAUGUCGGAUUAGCUAGUUGGCGGGGUAAAGGCCCACCAAGGCGACGAUCCGUAGCUGGUCUGAGAGGAUGAUCAGCCACACUGGAACUGAGACACGGUCCAGACUCCUACGGGAGGCAGCAGUGGGGAAUAUUGGACAAUGGGCGCAAGCCUGAUCCAGCCAUACCGCGUGAGUGAAGAAGGCCUUCGGGUUGUAAAGCCCUUUUGUUGGGAAAGAAAAGCAGCAGGUUAAUACCCCGCUGUUCCGACGGUACCCGAAGAAUAAGCACCGGCUAACUUCGUG